RNAcentral lists this ribosomal RNA (467 nucleotides) under uncultured bacterium. RNAcentral describes it as "partial 16S ribosomal RNA". It matches the Rfam family "Bacterial small subunit ribosomal RNA", at positions 28 to 507 of the family's 1533-position model. The record is from RNAcentral.
GACGAACGCUGGCGGCGUGCUUAACACAUGCAAGUCGAACGGAAAGGCCUUUUUCGGGGGGUCCUCGAGUGGCGAACGGGUGAGUAACACGUGAGUAACCUGCACUUUACUUUGGGAUAACUUCAGGAAAAUGGGGCUAAUACCGGAUAGCAGCUCCUGCUGCAUGGUGGGGGCUGGAAAGUUUCGGCGGUUGGGGGUGGGCUGGCGGCGUAUCAGCUUUUGGGUGUGGGGGUGGCUUACCAAGGCGUUGACGGGUAGCCGGACAGAGGGAGUGACCGGCGGCACUGGGACUGAGAUAAGGCCCAGGCUCCGAAGGGAGGCCGCAGGGGGGAAGAUUGCACCAUGGGUGGCAGCCUGGUGCAGCAGCGCCGCGGGCUGGAAAACGGCCUUCUUGUUGUAAACCGCUUUCGCUCAUGACGAAGGUUUGUGUGACGGUAGUGAGUAAAGAAGCACCGGCUAACUACGUG